UACGUAGGGUGCAAGCGUUGUCCGGAAUUAUUGGGCGUAAAGGGCUCGUAGGCGGUCCGUCACGUCGGGAGUGAAAACUUGGGGCUUAACCCCAAGCCUGCUUCCGAUACGGGCGGACUAGAGGUAGGCAGGGGAGAACGGAAUUCCUGGUGUAGCGGUGAAAUGCGCAGAUAUCAGGAGGAACACCGGUGGCGAAGGCGGUUCUCUGGGCCUUACCUGACGCUGGAGGAGCGAAAGCGUGGGGAGCGAACAGG
Molecule: ribosomal RNA, 254 nt
Filed under: uncultured bacterium
Lineage: Bacteria
Description: partial 16S ribosomal RNA
Rfam family: Bacterial small subunit ribosomal RNA
Source: RNAcentral